Molecule: long non-coding RNA, 343 nt
Filed under: Gossypium barbadense (sea-island cotton)
Lineage: Eukaryota; Viridiplantae; Streptophyta; Magnoliopsida; Malvales; Malvaceae
Description: long non-coding RNA (GBAR_LNC009379)
Source: RNAcentral
AGGGGGAGUAGUGGAUAUGGCGGUGGAGGGUGUCAAGUUCAUUGUCAUCCAUGAACUCUUCCGUGUAUAUCCCUAGUGCAAUCCCGAACUCGGGUACGCUCAACUGGCGUACUUGACCACCAAGGUGGAACUAGACCGUUUCGGGGUCGUCGAAGUUGGUCAUGACGAUCUGAAGAUGGAACGUCGAGUAGAGUUCCAAUGUGAACUCGAGAUAAGCCGGCUCGACAAUCUCAAAGAAGAGCCCCCACAGGUCAAUCGUCAGGAGGGCUCAGACUGCGUCAGCCAAAUAAAUCUGUUCAAGUGAGGCCUAGUCAAUGCAGCAGCCCACACCUAGGGGUCAGGC